This is a long non-coding RNA of Pangasianodon hypophthalmus (striped catfish), 726 nucleotides long. RefSeq lists it as uncharacterized. The record is from RefSeq and is a predicted model, not a curated record. The transcript has 3 exons. Lineage: Eukaryota; Metazoa; Chordata; Actinopteri; Siluriformes; Pangasiidae.
UAGUUUUUAAGUGGCUGAAUAAAGGCCAAGAAAAGGAGGAAGAUUAAAAAAAAGAACUAGACCGCUCCUGCCAAGUAGCUAGCUUUCUCUUUUAUCCAGGAUGCACACAAAAAGGCUAAAAGACUUCAGAAAUUGAACAGCAGAUGGAGAAAAUCUGUGGAUCACUGGAUGAACUGAGGUCUACUGGAACCAUAUCUUAGAAGAUUUAUGCACUCGUGUUGGAGAUCUUCUGAUUACAAGGACUGGUCAUUCUUCAUACUUUUGAGCUGAAAGGAUUACCAACACACUUCUGCGUCAAUUCCCUACGUUGCCCUUAGGUGUGAACAUGUGGGUGUGUGGUGCCUUGCAAUGGACUGGUUUCACAUCCUGGGUGUAUUCCCACCUCAAGCCCAGUGUUCCUGGGAUACACUCCGGAUCCACUGCGACUCUGAUCAGGAAAAAGCGCUGCUUACCUGAAGUGAAUGAGUAAGAAUCAGAUCUUUUGCUAUGUCACAGUAAACAGAGGUGUAACAUGUGGUUUUAAAUCUUUACUUAUUUAAUUAUGUAUUGUUAGAAAGCUGAUUUGGUGUAUGUAUGUUGGAUGUAAGGUUUUCUUAAUAUCUAAAUUAGUUUUGGCUCAAAGGGACAUUUUUAUUUACAAAACUAUGCAAAAUAUGUUCUGUGAAGGGACCGUAAUGUAAAGCAUUAAAGAAUACAAACAUAUACUCUUAUUGAUGUGUACUUACA